Molecule: unclassified non-coding RNA, 243 nt
Filed under: Eilifdahlia dahlii
Lineage: Eukaryota; Fungi; Ascomycota; Lecanoromycetes; Teloschistales; Teloschistaceae
Description: partial contains 5.8S ribosomal RNA, internal transcribed spacer 2, and large subunit ribosomal RNA
Source: RNAcentral
CGCACAUUGCGCCCCCUGGUAUUCCGGGGGGCAUGCCUGUUCGAGCGUCAUUAAAACCCUCAAGCUCUGCUUGGUGUUGGGUGCCAGGCCUCCCCAGGCCCACCCGUAACCCGUUGGCGGCAGGUGCCGGCCCCGAGCGUAGCAGAAACCUCGCUUUCGGGGCUCGUGGCGGCACCCGCCAGAGGAACCACCCAACUCCUAUAGUUUGACCUCGGAUCAGGUAGGGUUACCCGCUGAACUUAA